UUAAACUCCCCCAUAGGACAGGCUUCGCCUAGUUUGGGGGACCGUUAUUUGUUAAAAUGUUUGUAAAAUUAUCAUGGUGAAUAAAGACAUUUGUAUUUGUAGAUAUUUGAACGUG
Molecule: long non-coding RNA, 115 nt
Organism: Aricia agestis (brown argus)
Lineage: Eukaryota; Metazoa; Arthropoda; Insecta; Lepidoptera; Lycaenidae
Exons: 3
Source: RefSeq, a predicted model, not a curated record